Molecule: ribosomal RNA, 598 nt
Filed under: Colletotrichum acutatum
Lineage: Eukaryota; Fungi; Ascomycota; Sordariomycetes; Glomerellales; Glomerellaceae
Description: eukaryotic LSU rRNA
Rfam family: 5.8S ribosomal RNA (bases 227-380)
Source: RNAcentral
GUCGUAACAAGGUCUCCGUUAGUGAACCAGCGGAGGGAUCAUUACUGAGUUACCGCUCUAUAACCCUUUGUGAACAUACCUAACCGUUGCUUCGGCGGGCAGGGGAAGCCUCUCGCGGGCCUCCCCUCCCGGCGCCGGCCCCCACCACGGGGACGGGGCGCCCGCCGGAGGAAACCAAACUCUAUUUACACGACGUCUCUUUUGAGUGGCACAAGCAAAUAAUUAAAACUUUUAACAACGGAUCUCUUGGUUCUGGCAUCGAUGAAGAACGCAGCGAAAUGCGAUAAGUAAUGUGAAUUGCAGAAUUCAGUGAAUCAUCGAAUCUUUGAACGCACAUUGCGCUCGCCAGCAUUCUGGCGAGCAUGCCUGUUCGAGCGUCAUUUCGACCCUCAAGCUCCGCUUGGUUUUGGGGCCCCACGGCACACGUGGGCCCUUAAAGGUAGUGGCGGACCCUCCCGGAGCCUCCUUUGCGUAGUAACUAACGUCUCGCACUGGGAUUCGGAGGGACUCUUGCCGUAAAACCCCCAAAUUUUUUACAGGUUGACCUCGGAUCAGGUAGGAAUACCCGCUGAACUUAAGCAUAUCAAUAAGCGGAGGA